GCCCGGGUGGUGAAAUGGUAGACACAGCGGACUUAAAAUCCGCCGACUUUGCGGUCGUGCCGGUUCGAGUCCGGCUCCGGGCA
Molecule: transfer RNA, 83 nt
Filed under: Crenobacter luteus
Lineage: Bacteria; Pseudomonadati; Pseudomonadota; Betaproteobacteria; Neisseriales; Neisseriaceae
Rfam family: tRNA
About the family: Transfer RNA (tRNA) molecules are approximately 80 nucleotides in length. Their secondary structure includes four short double-helical elements and three loops (D, anti-codon, and T loops).
Source: Rfam by way of RNAcentral